GAUGAACGCUGGCGGCGUGCCUAAUACAUGCAAGUCGAGCGAACGGACGAGAAGCUUGCUUUUCUGAUGUUAGCGGCGGACGGGUGAGUAACACGUGGAUAACCUACCUAUAAGACUGGGAUAACUUCGGGAAACCGGAGCUAAUACCGGAUCAUAUUUUGAACCGCAUGGUUCAAAAGUGAAAGACGGUCUUGCUGUCACAUAUAGAUGGAUCCGCGCUGCAUUAGCUAGUUGGUAAGGUAACGGCUUACCAAGGCAACGAUGCAUAGCCGACCUGAGAGGGUGAUCGGCCACACUGGAACUGAGACACGGUCCAGACUCCUACGGGAGGCAGCAGUAGGGAAUCUUCCGCAAAGGGCGAAAGCCUGACGGAGCAACGCCGCGUGAGUGAUGAAGGUCUUCGGAUCGUAAAACUCUGUUAUUAGGGAAGAACAUAUGUGUAAGUAACUGUGCACAUUUUGACGGUACCUAAUCAGAAAGCCACGGCUAACUACGUG
RNAcentral lists this ribosomal RNA (497 nucleotides) under uncultured bacterium. RNAcentral's name for it is "partial 16S ribosomal RNA". It matches the Rfam family "Bacterial small subunit ribosomal RNA", at positions 28 to 507 of the family's 1533-position model. The record is from RNAcentral.